Molecule: long non-coding RNA, 238 nt
Filed under: Elaeis guineensis (African oil palm)
Lineage: Eukaryota; Viridiplantae; Streptophyta; Magnoliopsida; Arecales; Arecaceae
Description: long non-coding RNA (EGUI_LNC004284)
Source: RNAcentral
AGUAGAGGAGGAGUAGUCGGAUGGAUUUGAUAGCAAGGAGGAUGGACGUAUCAGCCGUGGUGGUAUUGAUGUUGAAUAGAGGGGGGUGAUGGGGAGGAGGGAGCCAUUGUUAUGAUGAGGGGGAGGCAAGUGAAGAGGGUUUUAGUUGGGAUGGAGAUGAAGGGAUGAAAAAAAAUAUUAAAUAUUUUUAUUUGGAAAUGUUAGAAAAAGAGAGGCUCAAUCGAAUCUGCUUUAGAUC